Molecule: long non-coding RNA, 794 nt
Organism: Stomoxys calcitrans (stable fly)
Lineage: Eukaryota; Metazoa; Arthropoda; Insecta; Diptera; Muscidae
Exons: 4
Source: RefSeq, a predicted model, not a curated record
UUUCAUAUAAAUACUCAGACUCCCUUCUACGGUUUGACUUGUUAGGCACGACAAACGCAACAUAAAUCAUGGUUUCAAAGACAAUCAUAGCAGCUUUCCUUGUAGCAGCUCUUAUCUUGGCUUUUGCUGGUGUCGAUGCUAAGCCGCAAGGAAUGGCGAGUGAUUUGUUUGGUGGCUUGAGAAAUGUCUCCAGUUCCAUUUCAUCAGCUUUGGGUUAAAGAUGGCGAUUUGAAUUGAAACAAAAUUCAUAAAACUCUUUUGUAAAGCCUUUUCCAUUAAAAUUUUAUAUACAUAUAAACACAAAAUAUUUGCAGCAGGCUUGAGAUCUGUAAAUCUUCAACUAUGGGUCAGCAGAGGAUCUCCUCUUGGAGGUGUACAGUCUCCUCUUUCUCUUAACAAUAUGUUAUUGUAUCUGGAAGAAAAAGGUGUAUAAGAGGUGACUAUUGUGAUUGAAAAUAUUUAAAUUCAUUCGACAGCAGGAGCUUGAGCGAAAGAGGUCAUGAGUUUAAAGGCAAUAUUUACAGUUAUUUUCAUAGCAGUCCUAAUUAUGGCUUAUGUUGGGGUAGAAGCAAAGCCUCAAGGUAUAGCGAAGGAUUUCUUUGGUGGUCUAGAAGGAGUAGCCAGUUCUAUUACAUCGGCUAUGGGAUAAAUAGUAAAGUAGGUAUACCCUACAUCGGCUAUGGGAUAAAUAGUAUAUCCUCUACGUUUCACAUGUGAACUUUUUGCUGAAAAAAUUACCCUAACUAUUUAAAAGCUUACACAAUAAAUAAACGAUCAGUGUCUUAUAAUGAAAA